UCUGAAGAAGGCCUUCGGGUUGUAAAGGACUUUUGUUAGGGAAGAAAAGCCGGGUGCUAAUACCACCUGGUGCUGACGGUACCUAAAGAAUAAGCACCGGCUAACUACGUGCCAGCAGCCGCGGUAAUACGUAGGGUGCGAGCGUUAAUCGGAAUUACUGGGCGUAAAGCGAGCGCAGACGGUUAAUUAAGUCAGAUGUGAAAUCCCCGAGCUCAACUUGGGACGUGCAUUUGAAACUGGUUAACUAGAGUGUGUCAGAGGGAGGUAGAAUUCCACGUGUAGCAGUGAAAUGCGUAGAGAUGUGGAGGAAUACCGAUGGCGAAGGCAGCCUCCUGGGAUAACACUGACGUUCAUGCUCGAAAGCGUGGGUAGCAAACAGGAUUAGAUACCCUGGUAGUCCACGCCCUAAACGAUGACAAUUAGCUGUUGGGACACUAGAUGUCUUAGUAGCGAAGCUAACGCGUGAAAUUGUCCGCCUGGGGAGUACGGUCGCAAGAUUAAAACUCAAAGGAAUUGACGGGGACCCGCACAAGCGGUGGAUGAUGUGGAUUAAUUCGAUGCAACGCGAAGAACCUUACCUGGUCUUGACAUGUACGGAAUCUCUUAGAGAUAGGAGAGUGCCUUCGGGAGCCGUAACACAGGUGCUGCAUGGCUGUCGUCAGCUCGUGUCGUGAGAUGUUGGGUUAAGUCCCGCAACGAGCGCAACCCUUGUCAUUAGUUGCCAUCAUUAAGUUGGGCACUCUAAUGAGACUGCCGGUGACAAACCGGAGGAAGGUGGGGAUGACGUCAAGUCCUCAUGGCCCUUAUGACCAGGGCUUCACACGUCAUACAAUGGUCGGUACAGAGGGUAGCGAAGCCGCGAGGUGAAGCCAAUCUCAGAAAGCCGAUCGUAGUCCGGAUUGCACUCUGCAACUCGAGUGCAUGAAGUCGGAAUCGCUAGUAAUCGCAGGUCAGCAUACUGCGGUGAAUACGUUCCCGGGUCUUGUACACACCGCCCGUCACACCAUGGGAGUGGGGGAUACCAGAAUUGGGUAGACUAACCGCAAGGAGGUCGCUU
Molecule: ribosomal RNA, 1057 nt
Filed under: Snodgrassella alvi
Lineage: Bacteria; Pseudomonadati; Pseudomonadota; Betaproteobacteria; Neisseriales; Neisseriaceae
Description: bacterial SSU rRNA
Rfam family: Bacterial small subunit ribosomal RNA
Source: RNAcentral